Non-coding RNA from Mycena polygramma, 95 nucleotides. The record is from the annotation of a GenBank genome assembly. NCBI's taxonomy places the organism in Eukaryota, Fungi, Basidiomycota, Agaricomycetes, Agaricales, Mycenaceae.
CGGGAUGUGGUGUACGGUGCACGGCUGCUCUUCCAUCGGCGAGAAGGUAUAAAGAUUAAAAGCAGCAGGACGGGGUUCGACUCCCUGUAUCCCGA